RNAcentral lists this unclassified non-coding RNA (391 nucleotides) under soil metagenome. RNAcentral's name for it is "partial contains 5.8S ribosomal RNA, internal transcribed spacer 2, and large subunit ribosomal RNA". The stretch from base 1 to 122 matches the Rfam family "5.8S ribosomal RNA", at positions 35 to 154 of the family's 154-position model. The record is from RNAcentral.
GAUGAAGAACGCAGUGAAAUGCGAUACUUGGUGUGAAUUGCAGAAUCCCGUGAACCAUCGAGUCUUUGAACGCAAGUUGCGCCCGAAGCCACUAGGCCGAGGGCACGCCUGCCUGGGCGUCACACGCCGUUGCCCCCCCAUCUACUCCUUCGGGAUUGCGGGGGGGCGGAUGAUGGCCUCCUGUGCGCCUAGCCGCGCGGUUGGCAUAAAUACCAAGUCCUCGGCGACGCACGCCACGACAAUCGGUGGUUGCGAAACCUCGGUUGCCCGUCGUGUGCGUUCGUCGCGCAUCGAGGGCUCGAAAAAAUGCUCGGCUUCGGCUGGGCUUUCAACGCGACCCCAGGUCAGGCGGGGUUACCCGCUGAAUUUAAGCAUAUCAAUAAGCGGAGGA